RNAcentral lists this ribosomal RNA (345 nucleotides) under uncultured fungus. RNAcentral describes it as "SSU rRNA". It matches the Rfam family "Eukaryotic small subunit ribosomal RNA", at positions 21 to 370 of the family's 1831-position model. The record is from RNAcentral. Lineage: Eukaryota; Fungi.
UAGUCAUAUGCUUGUCUCAAAGAUUAAGCCAUGCAUGUCUAAGUAUAAGCAAUUAUACCGCGAAACUGCGAAUGGCUCAUUAUAUAAGUUAUCGUUUAUUUGAUAGUACCUUACUACUUGGAUAACCGUGGUAAUUCUAGAGCUAAUACAUGCUAAAAAUCCCGACUUCGGAAGGGAUGUAUUUAUUAGAUUAAAAACCAAUGCCCUUCGGGGCUCUCUGGUGAUUCAUGAUAACUUCUCGAAUCGCAUGGCCUUGUGCCGGCGAUGGUUCAUUCAAAUUUCUUCCCUAUCAACUUUCGAUGUUUGGGUAUUGGCCAAACAUGGUUGCAACGGGUAACGGGGAAU